GUCCUCACUUUGACAGCAUAUUUGCUAAAAAUGGGACAAUAGAGAUUAGCAUGACCCCUGUAUGAAGAAUGCAUGCAAACUUGUGAAGUGUUCCAUAUUUUU
This is a small nuclear RNA of Mesocricetus auratus (golden hamster), 102 nucleotides long. Lineage: Eukaryota; Metazoa; Chordata; Mammalia; Rodentia; Cricetidae. The record is from Ensembl.